Molecule: long non-coding RNA, 202 nt
Filed under: Musa acuminata (dwarf banana)
Lineage: Eukaryota; Viridiplantae; Streptophyta; Magnoliopsida; Zingiberales; Musaceae
Description: long non-coding RNA (MACU_LNC006639)
Source: RNAcentral
UCGAUGUGGGUCAUUCCUUCCUUUGAUGCUAUUAUAUGGGUAAGAAGGGUUUUGAUUCCAUGUAUUAAAAAAAUUGAUCUAAUAUCAUAAAGAAUAAUCAAGAGAGUCAACAAAAAAAAAUUUGAAAAAUAAAUUCAAUAGUAGUGCAUAUCAGAUUUACAUAGUUCAACAUUCAUAUUUUGCCUAUCCCAAGUGAUAUUUG